AUUUGAUAGUACCUUACUACUUGGAUAACCGUGGUAAUUCUAGAGCUAAUACAUGCUAAAAACCCCGACUUCGGGAGGGGUGUAUUUAUUAGAUAAAAAACCAACGCCCUUCGGGGCUUCUUGGUGAUUCAUGAUAACUUAACGAAUCGCAUGGCCUUGCGCCGGCGAUGGUUCAUUCAAAUUUCUGCCCUAUCAACUUUCGAUGGUAGGAUAGUGGCCUACCAUGGUAUCAACGGGUAACGGGGAAUUAGGGUUCUAUUCCGGAGAGGGAGCCUGAGAAACGGCUACCACAUCCAAGGAAGGCAGCAGGCGCGCAAAUUACCCAAUCCCGACACGGGGAGGUAGUGACAAUAAAUACUGAUACAGGGCUCUUUUGGGUCUUGUAAUUGGAAUGAGUACAAUUUAAAUCCCUUAACGAGGAACAAUUGGAGGGCAAGUCUGGUGCCAGCAGCCGCGGUAAUUCCAGCUCCAAUAGCGUAUAUUAAAGUUGUUGCAGUUAAAAAGCUCGUAGUUGAACCUUGGGCCUGGCUGGCCGGUCCGCCUCACCGCGUGCACUGGUCCGGCCGGGCCUUUCCUUCUGGGGAGCCGCAUGCCCUUCACUGGGUGUGUCGGGGAACCAGGACUUUUACUUUGAAAAAAUUAGAGUGUUCAAAGCAGGCCUUUGCUCGGAUACAUUAGCAUGGAAUAAUAGAAUAGGACGUGCGGUCCUAUUUUGUUGGUUUCUAGGACCGCCGUAAUGAUUAAUAGGGAUAGUCGGGGGCAUCAGUAUUCAAUUGUCAGAGGUGAAAUUCUUGGAUUUAUUGAAGACUAACUACUGCGAAAGCAUUUGCCAAGGAUGUUUUCAUUAAUCAGUGAACGAAAGUUAGGGGAUCGAAGACGAUCAG
Molecule: ribosomal RNA, 884 nt
Filed under: Cenococcum geophilum
Lineage: Eukaryota; Fungi; Ascomycota; Dothideomycetes; Gloniales; Gloniaceae
Description: SSU rRNA
Rfam family: Eukaryotic small subunit ribosomal RNA
Source: RNAcentral